UAUAUAUAUAUAUAUAGAGAGAGAGAGAGAGAGAGAGAGAGAGAGAGAGAGAGAGAGAGCAGGGCUGCUGUGCUCUUAGGAGCACGGAGCCCUCCGUGCUCCUGAGCCGUUUUCGAUGAUGGGACAUCCAAAUCGACGAUCGGCUCCGUUAGACUUGAUCUAGGGUAUUUGAAGUCUCUAGAAAAUAAUUUUUGCGAUUUUUCGAUAUCAUUUACCUAGUGAUCGAAAGGAUUCAAAAUCA
RNAcentral lists this long non-coding RNA (241 nucleotides) under Ananas comosus (pineapple). Its description in RNAcentral is "long non-coding RNA (ACOM_LNC011680)". Lineage: Eukaryota; Viridiplantae; Streptophyta; Magnoliopsida; Poales; Bromeliaceae. The record is from RNAcentral.